Molecule: ribosomal RNA, 254 nt
Filed under: uncultured bacterium
Lineage: Bacteria
Description: partial 16S ribosomal RNA
Rfam family: Bacterial small subunit ribosomal RNA
Source: RNAcentral
UACGGGGGGGGCAAGCGUUGUUCGGAAUUACUGGGCGUAAAGGCUCGUAGGCGGCCAACUAAGUCAGACGUGAAAUCCCCUCGGCUUAACCGGGGAACUGCAUCUGAUACUGGAUGGCUUGAGAUUGGGAGAGGGAUGCGGAAUUCCAGGUGUAGCGGUGAAAUGCGUAGAUAUCUGGAGGAACACCGGUGGCGAAGGCGGCAUCCUGGACCCAACACUGACGCUGAGGAGCGAAAGCCAGGGAGCAAAGCGGG